Long non-coding RNA from Gasterosteus aculeatus aculeatus (three-spined stickleback), 3221 nucleotides. The record is from Ensembl. Lineage: Eukaryota; Metazoa; Chordata; Actinopteri; Perciformes; Gasterosteidae.
GUGGCAACCAUCCACAAAAUACAAUGUAAAUGUUCUUUUUAAUAAAUUGAAAAGAUCUACGUAUGUCAUAUACGUAUGCAGUAUAGUUGUGUAGUAGUGUUAGCUAUUUCUGUAACUUACCAAACACAAUGCAGAUAAGGAGGAUGCUCUGUUGUCUAAGAGAGGAAACAAUAUGACAAAAUGACAUUAAGAAGGUUCAAACUUUCAGCCUUUAAACAAAACACCAUAGGAAAUUAUUACAUAGAGAGAGAAGUAGAUUACCGCUGUUCCAUAUUACCAACAUAGUUAAUUAUGUUUCUCAAAAGACAAACUACUUUAAAUGCUAUUGACAUCGGAUUUGUAACUUAUCCAUAAUUCAGACAUGAAUGGAGGAGUGAAAUAUUCCCGUGGUUACCACCAAGUUAGUUACCCAACUAACCAGUUCAUGCCAGUUCAGCACAUAACUUAAUACCGUUACAUAUUUGUCAUACUAAUGUGCCGCUAGCUUAGCGGCUAUGCUAUUGUUAGCCACGUUUUGGCGUUGACAUACACAGGGAAUAUUUCACUCUUUCAUUAGUGUACACAUACUGCACGGGUUACAAACGGACGACAACGCCGUUUCACAACUAUAUAACUGUCAUUACACCAUCCAAACUAUGAGCCCUUAGACCCGCGGCUCAGCGGUACUUACCGGUCAAGACUUCAGAGGAAUUUGACGGAGAUGCGUUGAUGUGACGUUAGAUUUGAUUGAUGCAUUCAGGAACAUUUGGACAUUACGCUCUCAAAAUGCCGGGUUCGAUAGAAACUGUACCAAACAAACCUCAAAGCUUAAUUCCUCAGCUGUCAUAAUGCAUUUUAUUAAAUCUAUAGUUGUCCUUUAAGAGCACUCGUAUCAUCAGCGAGAUACUAUAGUUUAAGCUGAUAAAUUGACAACAAGAUAUGGUCAAUACAUGUGGUUAAUUCUUGAAAUGUGAAAAGUUGAUUAAGUAAUGUUUUCCUAAGGCAUAAUAUGAAUUCACUAAUGAUUUUUUAGUACAUAAUACGAGACUAAUUUGUGACACUAUUACCUUGUUAAAUCUAGUUUUGGAAAUAGCAACAUUAAGCUCCUACGCGGUGUAUCAGGCAAACACUUACGUCAUCAGCCAUUAUUUCCGACAUCAUCGGAGCGCUUUUGAACUCAUCACUGUCAAAAUCACUGUCAAAAAUCCAUAUAAAAAUUUCGCGGGCAAAAGUCCAUCUCGCGCAAGCAAAAGUCGGUGAUUUGCCUCAGUCCUGUGAAAGCUGACAGAGAAGUAAGUUUGUUCCUCUCUAAAUGAGAUAAGAAAAUGAAGAAUAUGAAGAAUAACUGACAUUAAUUGAGUAUUUAUAUUGUAUAACCCUAUAAGUAUAACCCUUUUUAACAAAAGAAACAAUUAAGUGACUAGAGUUGUUUAAAAUGUUUAAGCUAGCGGUUGGAUAGAUUAUCUUGGUUAGCAAAAGCGAUUUCCAAAUAGUGGUCAUCAAUUUUUUAAUGCAGUUUAGCGUUUUAGGCAAACGUAAUGCUCUCUUUAAUCCAAUAUAUAUUAACCUUAUACGUUUGUGAUAACCAUAUACUAAUGAAGCAACACAAUAUGAAAUAAAAGAAACGUUUUAGAAAAUAAUGUGUACUAACCUACUACAUAGCUUUUUCUUAAUGCUUUGUGUUUAUUUUAAUAUUUCAGAAUGGCAUUAAAGACGCUUUUGACAACAAAGCCUCCAACACCCUAUUUUCGCCCCCCGCCAAUCCACCUAUGUGUGGUGUUGGUGGUGGAGCAGCCCAGGGUGGUGGCCUGGGAGUUUGACGCAAAUGGUGCGAGACCAGCACAGACUAAAAUGAAUAUUCUGGCCGCAUUAACAGAUGGGGAUUCAGUGGCCAAGGUCACUGUAUUCGAGGAGUUUGGAAAAAGAUUUAAGGAGGGUGGCAGUUAUAAUGUGAAGGGGCUGUCUCUGAGAGGGCAGUCCCCCCCAUAUCAAUUAAACAUUACCAAGGACACGCUGUUCUUUAGGAGCGCUCCUAUAGCGCUCAGCGCAGCGCUCAAACGUGAAGCAGAGCUUCUAAUACACCCCCCCUCUCCACUGACUCCGCUGAGCACCUGCCGGGAAGCCAGGGGCCUUAUAACCGUGGAGGGCGAGGUGGUCGAGGUAAAUUAAGUUUCAGCCUACAGUGGUUUAAAAAGGAAACAGGUUUAAUAUUAGCUGCAAAUUGGUAUAAAAUGUCAAUUAACUGAAACAUUAAUUUUGUUCAGCUGUCAGCUUUAAAAGAAGUCACGACAGGGAGAGACGUCGUUCCAUUGCGGAACGUCACGAUGCAGCAGGGGGAAUCACAGAUGUCGCUGUGUUUCUGGAGGGAGGCGGCCGUAUGGCAGCUGCAGGUGGGGGCCCACAUUAAAGUUUCCCAUCUUAAAGCUGGAAGGUCUAACUAUGGGCUCAGACUCCAGUCCACAAACUUUUCCACCAUCGAGGAGGUACGCUCAGAGGACAUCGUGGGGGCACUCGGGGUGAUGGAGAUUGAGGGAGAUCCGGGGAACCUCAACCUUCUUCUGGAAGACGGCCGUACCGUCUUAAUUGAGGAGAGAUUGUGGGAGCCAAUCGAACUUGUCAUGAUUGAACCCGUGAUAAAAGUUCAAAUUAAAAUGACAGGAAACAAGGUGCAGGCGAUUGAAGUGGCGAAAAAUUAAAAUUUCUACUGUUAUAAAAUGUAUAUGUUUAUAAGAUUGUGUUCAUAAUGUAUUAGUUAUGUGUUCAUUUUGUUGUUCAUUUUGUUUUGACUUGUUACUUAUGUUCAAUUGUUUUUUUUACGCUUGUUUAUAAUUGUUAUUUGUUGCAAUAAAUAUUCAACCGUAGCAAUGUUGUCCGUUACUGUUCAUUUUGAAUGCUGUAUGUGACUUAUUUUCAGUAGAGGUUUCUUAUCCCCUUUAGCAAUGAUGGCUGGUGGAACACUUCCUAUAGGACCAUCCAAUCAAUUUCAGCAAACAUUCAAGUAUUAGUUAAUAAAAACAAUAAGGGGAAUCAAAAGCAUUAGUACCUUGCAGUUGGGUAUAAUUUAUUCCAGCACUAAAAAAGCAGUAAAUAACACUGACAUCUUAUUUCUGUCACCCUCACAGGUAAUUCAGUAUAAUAUUCAUACAUUUUAUAUUAUGUGUCCUUCAAACUAUGACGUUAUCAAUCGAUAGGCCUCAUCAAAAACAUUACAGUAAGAAUUCCCUCCAUGGGGCUUUUUUUUU